GGAGAUAGCUGGUUCUCUCCGAAAUAGCUUUAGGGCUAGCCUCAAGUGAUGAUUAUUGGAGGUAGAGCACUGUUUGGACGAGGGGCCCCUCUCGGGUUACCGAAUUCAGACAAACUCCGAAUGCCAAUUAAUUUAACUUGGGAGUCAGAACAUGGGUGAUAAGGUCCGUGUUCGAAAGGGAAACAGCCCAGACCACCAGCUAAGGUCCCAAAAUAUAUGUUAAGUGGAAAAGGAUGUGGCGUUGCCCAGACAACUAGGAUGUUGGCUUAGAAGCAGCCAUCAUUUAAAGAGUGCGUAAUAGCUCACUAGUCGAGUGACACUGCGCCGAAAAUGUACCGGGGCUAAACAUAUUACCGAAGCUGUGGAUUGUCCUUUGGACAAUGGUAGGAGAGCGUUCUAAGGGCGUUGAAGCAUGAUCGUAAGGACAUGUGGAGCGCUUAGAAGUGAGAAUGCCGGUGUGAGUAGCGAAAGACGGGUGAGAAUCCCGUCCACCGAUUGACUAAGGUUUCCAGAGGAAGGCUCGUCCGCUCUGGGUUAGUCGGGUCCUAAGCUGAGGCCGACAGGCGUAGGCGAUGGAUAACAGGUUGAUAUUCCUGUACCACCUAUAAUCGUUUUAAUCGAUGGGGGGACGCAGUAGGAUAGGCGAAGCGUGCGAUUGGAUUGCACGUCUAAGCAGUAAGGCUGAGUAUUAGGCAAAUCCGGUACUCGUUAAGGCU
This 716-nucleotide ribosomal RNA is filed under the name Staphylococcus aureus. RNAcentral describes it as "partial 23S ribosomal RNA". It matches the Rfam family "Bacterial large subunit ribosomal RNA", at positions 841 to 1557 of the family's 2925-position model. The record is from RNAcentral. Lineage: Bacteria; Bacillati; Bacillota; Bacilli; Caryophanales; Staphylococcaceae.